GAUGAACGCUGGCGGCGUGCCUAAUACAUGCAAGUCGAGCGAACAGAUGAGGAGCUUGCUCCUUUGACGUUAGCGGCGGACGGGUGAGUAACACGUGGGUAACCUACCUAUAAGACUGGGAUAACUUCGGGAAACCGGAGCUAAUACCGGAUAACAUAUUGAACCGCAUGGUUCUAUAGUGAAAGAUGGUUUUGCUGUCCCUUAUAGAUGGACCCGCGCCGCAUUAGCUAGUUGGUAAGGUAACGGCUUACCAAGGCAACGAUACGUAGCCGACCUGAGAGGGUGAUCGGCCACACUGGAACUGAGACACGGUCCAGACUCCUACGGGAGGCAGCAGUAGGGAAUCUUCCGCAAUGGGCGAAAGCCUGACGGAGCAACGCCGCGUGAGUGAUGAAGGUCUUCGGAUCGUAAAACUCUGUUAUUAGGGAAGAACAAAUGUGUAAGUAACUAUGCACGUCUUGACGGUACCUAAUCAGAAAGCCACGGUUAACUACGUG
Molecule: ribosomal RNA, 497 nt
Filed under: uncultured bacterium
Lineage: Bacteria
Description: partial 16S ribosomal RNA
Rfam family: Bacterial small subunit ribosomal RNA
Source: RNAcentral